GGACGAACGCUGGCGGCGUGCCUAAUACAUGCAAGUCGAACGGUCUUUCUAUGGAAGCUUGCUUCCACUGAGAAGAUAGUGGCGAACGGGUGAGUAACACGUGGGUAACCUGCCCAUAAGAGGGGGAUAACAUCCGGAAACGGGUGCUAAUACCGCAUAGUUUUCUUGAUCGCAUGAUCGGGAAAGGAAAGACGGCCUUUGUGCUGUCGCUUAUGGAUGGACCCGCGGCGUAUUAGUUAGUUGGUGAGGUAACGGCUCACCAAGACGAUGAUACGUAGCCGACCUGAGAGGGUGAUCGGCCACAUUGGGACUGAGACACGGCCCAAACUCCUACGGGAGGCAGCAGUAGGGAAUCUUCCGCAAUGGACGAAAGUCUGACGGAGCAACGCCGCGUGAGUGAAGAAAGGUUUUCGGAUCGUAAAACUCUGUUGUCAGAGAAGAACAAGUUGGAGAGUAACUGCUCCAGCCUUGACGGUAUCUGACCAGAAAGCCACGGCUAACUACGUGCCAGCCGCUGC
RNAcentral lists this ribosomal RNA (518 nucleotides) under uncultured bacterium. RNAcentral's name for it is "bacterial SSU rRNA". It matches the Rfam family "Bacterial small subunit ribosomal RNA", at positions 27 to 518 of the family's 1533-position model. The record is from RNAcentral.